Otolemur garnettii (small-eared galago) is the source of this 105-nucleotide small nuclear RNA. The record is from Ensembl. Lineage: Eukaryota; Metazoa; Chordata; Mammalia; Primates; Galagidae.
GUGCUUGUUUUAGCAGCACAUAUUCUAAAAUUAUAAUGAUACAGAGAAGAUCAGCAUGACCCUGCUAAGGAUGACAUGCAAAGUUGUGAAGCAUUCCAUAUUUUU